GACGAAGGUGGCGAGCGUUGUUCGGAAUCACUGGGCUUAAAGAGCACGUAGGCGGCCCGUCAAGCGUCAUGUGAAAUCCCUCGGCCCAACCGAGGAACUGCAAGGCGAACUGACGGGCUUGAGGCAGGUAGGGGCGAGUGGAACUCUUGGUGGAGCGGUGGAAUGCGUAGAUAUCAAGAGGAACGCCAGAGGCGAAGGCGACUCGCUGGGCCUGUCCUGACGCUGAGGUGCGAAAGCCAGGGGAGCGAACGGGAUUAGAUACCCCCGUA
This 269-nucleotide ribosomal RNA is filed under the name uncultured prokaryote. RNAcentral's name for it is "partial 16S ribosomal RNA". It matches the Rfam family "Bacterial small subunit ribosomal RNA", at positions 524 to 792 of the family's 1533-position model. The record is from RNAcentral.